CCUACGGGAGGCAGCAGUGGGGAAUAUUGGACAAUGGGCGAAAGCCUGAUCCAGCAAUGCCGCGUGAGUGAUGAAGGCCUUAGGGUUGUAAAGCUCUUUUACCAGGGAUGAUAAUGACAGUACCUGGAGAAUAAGCUCCGGCUAACUCCGUGCCAGCAGCCGCGGUAAUACGGAGGGAGCUAGCGUUGUUCGGAAUUACUGGGCGUAAAGCGUACGUAGGCGGUUAUUCAAGUCAGAGGUGAAAGCCCGGGGCUCAACCCCGGAACUGCCUUUGAAACUAGAUAGCUAGAAUCUUGGAGAGGUUAGUGGAAUUCCGAGUGUAGAGGUGAAAUUCGUAGAUAUUCGGAAGAACACCAGUGGCGAAGGCGACUAACUGGACAAGUAUUGACGCUGAGGUACGAAAGCGUGGGGAGCAAACAGGAUUAGAUACCCUAGGUAGUCCACGCCGUAAACGAUGAUAACUAGUUGUUCGGGCACUUGGUGCCUGAGUGACGCAGCUAACGCAUUAAGUUAUCCGCCUGGGGAGUACGGUCGCAAGAUUAAAACUUAAAUGAAUUGACGG
This 562-nucleotide ribosomal RNA is filed under the name uncultured bacterium. RNAcentral describes it as "bacterial SSU rRNA". It matches the Rfam family "Bacterial small subunit ribosomal RNA", at positions 338 to 916 of the family's 1533-position model. The record is from RNAcentral.